UUUAGUGUUCCAGAAAGAAUUUGGAUUGCUCAUACAUGUGGAAAUGGACCAGACUAUCACAAAGUUAAAGUGUAUUUCCAAGAACCCCAACUUUCCCCUUUGGAUGCAUGAAGGGCUUUUUGGUAGAAUCCAACAUUAAGUUCAGUGAUAUACGACAUUAUCCAAAGGAGAAGUGUCCCUGAUCUCAGACCCUGCCUUUCUGAAACAAUCCCUGAUCCCAUGCCAGAUUUGAUACCAAGUGUUAGCCAUAAGCUCUGUCACAGGUUCCUGCCAAUCUAGGUAUUACAACUGUCUCUGUUAUUCUUAGAGGAGUGGCUCUCUGUUAACCUCAAAUCAAGGGCUGUAAUUUGUGGUUGAUGGCACACUUUGAGAUGUGUCUGAUCUCUGUGCCUCAGGCGGCGAGGCGCAGGCCUUGAUUAGAGACAGUUACAUGUGGGAACUACUGCGCUAACCGCAAGUCGGAGCAAAUGUCAGCCGCACGCAUGUCAUGUGUCUGUUGCAGAGAUAUAUUAGGGUGAGACCUGCAGUAGGAAUAUCUUUGUAGUGUGGACUACAAAGGUAAGAGGGGCGGUAUUUUCAAAGCAAUCACGAGGUAUUUUAACUUUCUCUUUCAAGGUUUCAGAUCACAGAAUACAUUUUCUGACACAAAAGACUUGAUCCCUAAAAACAAGGAUUCUUUCCCAGAGGAGAUUCACAACUUUCCCUAUUUACACACCGUGUAGCUCAAUGGAGUCACACAGAAAUGAACAUGGGAAACUUUCUUUUCUUUUGUUUUGCAGAAACUUGCAUCACUUUCUUGUUAGAUGAUGAAACCUCUUUCCUUUAAUGCAUAGAUGGCAAUUAAGGGUUUAGUGUUCAAUGUCACAGCACGGGUUAAAUGGUUAUUUUUCAAAAUCAGACAAUACAGCUAUAAUACAUAUGAAAAUGAUAAAUAAUUAGGAUUGAAAUGACCAUGCUGGCUGUAUUAUCUCACCAUCAGUAAUAACUCUUCUCUCUGACACACAAAAAUAAAGAUUUGACCAGCCUUAUUUUGAGAUUAUGUCCACUCCUGCAUGCCCACCCUCCCCCCUCUCCCCCACUCCUCACUACACAGGAGUAGAUGUUGAAAGGCUGAAAAGAAAGAGCGGCACAAGGAGAAUAAAACACAGCCACACCUUUCAGCGCCUGUGCUCUUGAGGAAUUUGAUGAGCGACAAAAGACGAACAUUUUGAAGCCCUAUUCUGCCUAAGUAGCAGUGCAUAUAGUGAACAACUAUUUACGCAGUAGCUGAGCCGGGGAGUUGCCUAUGGAUUCAUUAGCCUCUUUGGGGCCUCCCAACUCUUCAGUCCCCACCGACUCUCUCCCUCAAUGUCUCUCUCCCUCCCUCUCUUUCUAACGCCCUCAAACGCCUCACUCUCGCUCUUUCUUUCUUUCUUUCUUUGCUGUCUAUAAGAGGUUUUUAAGCCUAGCCAGUGUUUGUAAUUAGCUCCCAAUGCUGGAAUGGAACAUGUUGAGGUGGGUGUUAAUGGGCUGGCCAGGCCCUUACUCGCACAGCAGGCUGAGAGCAGAAACAGAAACCAGUCUUUGUUCCUUGGAUAGGGAGAAGACAAAAAGUGGGCAUUAAAAGUGUGCAGAAGGACCUCUGGAAAAUAUUAAGCGGCAUUCAUAUUUUAAAAGAACACUUGGACCUAAGCACAAGGCCGCUAUAAUAACUGUCACCUCUCUGUAUGUGCUCAGCUGGAAACUCUCUGGCAACUCAAUGUAAAAUUUCAGCACUACAGUCUACCUCUGAAAAGUAUUACCCCCUUUUGAAACAGUUUUCUUGGUCAUAAAUAAAAAAAGAUUUUUCAAAAACGUCUAAGUUUUAACGCUUUUAAACUGUUUUAGCUUUAACUGUUGAAAAUUAGAGGUGAAAAAGAACGAAAAUGAAGAUUAAACAUGCAGGGAGAAGGGACAACAGCAAAUUGUCUUACAGUCACUUUCAAAGGAGAAGGAGCAAAAAAUUGCUGCAUUGUAUGUUCAGUCUUUCAGGUCAGAGUUCAAACGCACUGGGAAAGCAGUGGGCGUUAUUCUGAAACCUUUCAAGAUCUUCCCCUCUCUUUUUUUUUUUUUUCUGGCAUCUUCACAUUGAGCUGUGCGGCUGCUGGAGCAAUCCAUUACUGUGUCAAAGUUCUUGUUCUGCGUUGGCCUGGAAGCAUAGUGAAACAGCUUGUUUUCAUUUCAGUAGGGGAAAGGCAGGACUCUGUUUCAAGUCCCCUGCCCCUCCAGAUGUGCUGCGAUCAAGGGAAGUUGACUAUGCGCUUUGUGUUCUUUAGGACACUAAUGUGAUUAUGUCACAUAUUUUCAGCUGAUUCCCAUUGCUAUUAGUCGUGGUGUGGGGUCUAUGCUUCAAUGGACUCUAUCAGGACGGGAGUUAGAGGGAUUUUUCUUUCAGCAAAGUCUGAUUCCUAGCCAACCAGAGAACACUAAGAAGUGUGUGUGUGUGUGUGUGUGUGUGUGUGUGUGUGUGUGUGUGUGUGUGUGUGUGUGUGUGUGUGUGUGUGUGUGUAGCUUUGAUUGUGUGUGCAUGUGUAUGUAAAUCUCUCUGUCUGUGCUGUUGAGUAUGAUAUUUAAGCUCCUCUAAUCCUGUCUAAAUAAUUCACUUGUGUUUUGGUGCUUUAUGUUUCCCUUUGACAAAACUCACAAACUUAGUCUAUAUUACAUUUUUAUUGGCCUUACAUUUUUAUCUCCUCCAGAUCCUGAAAUGUGUCUUAGCUUAUGAUGUAUUUGCUGCCGGUGAGAAAAGCUACCUCGUGAAGCUUUUUUUUUACGUGUACCUACAUAACUUAAAAGCUACAUUUUCUUAACUUAGUGCCAUGCUAUGAAAAAACAGACUGUUUCUUUAAAUCACAAAGAAAGAAAGGUGAGUUAAGGCUCUCAUAACUAAUGCAUUCACAACAUCAAAAAUAGAAAAAUUCAAGUGUCAGCUUCUGUAAAGUAAGAGUAUCUGUGACAUUUUUUUCUGUGCUGUUUAAUUUUAAUUAGAUUUGUUUAAGACAGUUGUACAGUUAAACAGUGUCAGCAUAUUAACAAUGAUAGGAGAGAGGCAACUGGGUGGUAUUACAAGCUGAAUGAUAGGUAGUUCACAGAGUUUUACUCCUCUGGCAUUUCAUCGCCAUGAAAGAAACCAGCCACAACCAACUAAAGCCAGUAUGUUAGCCGCACCGCUCUUUCUGCUCUACUAAGUCUACAGAAAUAGAAGAGUCGAUGUGUGUGUGUGUGUUUUAAUGGUCCCUACAACAUGAAAAAAUACAGUCUUGGAGCUGUCACAACAAAAUAGUAUUGACAAUAUAAGACACUGAUAUUGCGCUUAAAAAGACAAUAAGGAACGAUACAGUCACUAUAGAGAAGUGAUCCAUAAUGCAGGUUUCCACACAUUAUAAAACAGAAGAAGAAGCAGCAGACUGCUAGCAAGGUAGCUAAAGCAGCCCCCUGAGUGAUGAUUAGGAACUUUAAAAAACUGAAAUUCAAAAUUUAUUGUAAACAAAAAAAUCAACAUUCGGGUUUGUACCUCUUUUUGUUUAUUAAUCUAUCAAACAUUUAUACUUUCUAGACAUUUUUGUGACUGUUUUUAUUGGUUUAUGUAACUUAGAUCUAUGACUUAUCAGAAGUAGUUAACUUUAAUGCAGAAAACGUGUUUAUCAUACUAAUGAAGAAUUUCUUUUCCUCUGUCUGACUUACUGUGUUUUUCUUUUUUUUUUAAGUAUUUGUUGGGCAAUUUUAGCCUUUUUAAUGACAGGACAGGGUGAAAUGUGGGGAGACAGAGAGACAUGGGGGACGACAUGCAACACAAGGUCAGGGCCGGAUUCAAACCCACAACUGCUGCGGGGAUUGUGGUCCCCAUGUAUGGGGACGUGCUAACCCGCUCGGCCAUCUGCACACCUUCUGUGUGGUUUUCUUCUUUAAAGUUUCCCACAAAUAUCACGAUAAUGUCAUAAUGGCUAAUUUUGUGGUGACAAUAAUUGUGAGGUAAAAAUCUGAUAUCACGUCAGCCUUAUGCUGCACACCAUGACAGAUGUCAUCAGUGGUCCAAUCAAACAUUAAAGAAGAAAAGUAAUCCUAUUUGUUCCUAAAAAGCACAAAUUAUUACAUAUAUAGGAGGACUAUUGUGAAGGUGUUAUUUAAUGAGUCUUGGUCAGGAGAUUGCUCUGUACACUGCAGCUCCUCAGAAAAAAAGGCGAACCUCUAAUGCCAAUCUGUGAACCAUUUGAAAGACUGAAAAAAGCCAAUUUUAGCAAGUUCCUGUGAGAAACAGCCGCUACAGUAUGCUAAAUAAAGAGCAUUGGCCUUGCCCCAUGCUUACUGCAAAUUUUCCCUGAAUGUGUCUGAUAGCUGAUGAGGAGCAGACAUGUUGAUUGGAGAAAGCAUCGGACAUCUCAUUUAAUGUAGCAGGCUGUCUUCAAACAUGUCCGCUCACUGUAUGGCAGCAUGACUGCAUAUUAUAAAGAAUGGCAGCGUAGCUACACCACAUACUCUCACCCGCCACUAGAUUAGAGGCCAGCUGGGAAGACAGCUCCAUCAUCUGCGUAUCCAAAUGGUGGACCCCACUUUCCCUUAAGCUGCCAGUCUGGGUAAAAACAGGAUUAUGCCUCCUGCUUGCCGACUGGGCCUAGAUUUGGUCCCUGAUGGCUGCCAAACUAUUUUGUGACAGGCCGUUGUCUUCAGCAACUCCACUCUCAGUACCCAAAAUCGAGAAUGGGAUCAGUAACUGAUGGUUUUAGUUGGGCUUAUCAUAGGGACUUGGAUUAGAUACAAAAAACUCCCAAACUUAGCGUAAUAUCAGCAACAUAAGGGAAUACACCCUCAAAGUUGCACAAGAAAAGGAAAGGAAAGGUGCAUUUCAAGGUAUCUACAUUCAAGCAAGGUGAUGGUCUUAUGUCACCAAGGCUCCAUGGAUGGUAUUAUGCUCUGCACUGCCAUCACAAUCAAGAACCACAGUACAAUUUUACCUGACAAAUGCCCGACAGGUUACUUUAUUUUCAAACUUAGAGGCUUGACUUUUGCUUCAGCCAAAGUGGUAGAUGAAAGGUAAAGAUGAAAAUAUGAAUGAAACAAAUUUCAACAAUUUCCUGGUUGAAGCAUCACGGCCCGGCCCUUGUUGCCAGCAGGGUUGAAGUGUGAUGCAUAUAGAAAAAGAUCAGUGGUCAAAUAAUAAGAGUAGACAAAGUUAACACAUCUCAGUUACUAAGUAUGGUUUCAGUGAAACCGAUACAUUUUCUUCCCCGACAGUCUUUAUGUGCCGAACCAACACUCAAUGGAGCUUGUUGUUUUAUCACAAGAAAAAGAGAGGAGUUAGAGCCUUCAUUGAAGCACUCUCUUUUAAAGUUUAAUACAACACGCACGUCAUUGAGCUUUUCAAAAGUGAUGCAGGGAUGUUACUUAAGAGAUACAGCACAGCACAACAGAAGCUAAAAGCUCUACGUAUUGUCAUUAAGCGUACAAAUGUCUCCUUUGUGCAGAGCUUGUCUUAUUAUCUCUAAGUUCAAGGGGCAAACAGCGAGGAGACAGUGUAUAUAUAUAAAGGUUAUCAAAGAGGUUCUGUGCUUGAUUUGCUCUGUCUCACCACAAGACAAGAACUUCAUUUGACCCAAACAAGCUUACUUGCGUAUCUUCAUCGGCGGAGUAUAAACAUGGCUGAAAGGGCUGGUGAAAAACUCAAGGAUUUUAUCUGAUGAGGGGUGACAGUUUACAGGAGAUGAAUUGUGUGGUGGAGAUAAUCAUGCAGAGGGGCCGCCACAUUUCAACAACAAAUAUCACCUUUAAUAGUCUACUAUCAUCUGUAUGCGUAGAGGGCAGGGUUAAUAGCCCUUUAUUCUACUUUAUAAGUUGGUAAAGUUUUAAGUGGGGUACAACUGGGAAAUACAGAAUGAAAUCCAGAUUAACCCCAGGGCCAGAAAUGAGUGUAAAAGUUUCUCUCCUUUUGAUGUGAUAUACUUAUCCUUGGAUGGUUUUCAUUUAGCUUUUACUUCUUUGUUAAACUAAGAAAGAAUGAGUAAAGAACGUCACAUGGUUAAGUUGUGAGGUGGGUCACAGUCUCAUGAAAUAUAUUGAACAGAAGAAACUUAUGAGCGAGAAACAAAUAAAAAUGACCUGCGAGAAAACUGUCAAACUUCUUUGAUCGCCGAAUCAAAGAAACCUCUUGAAAUAAUGUGAAAAAUGGCAAUGUCAACAGAUCUCACAGAAGUCUGCUCGUAGAAAUGUCUAUGAAUACUUGUAAUUAAAUUUCAUUUUUCAAGUUAAACAAAUUUGUAUUUGGGGGCACAGGUUUGGCUCAGCUGGAAGCGCUCAUUUCACUUUAAACAUAAUUAAAAGUCAUAAUUUUAAGAGACUUUUAGAAUUAAGAUACACUUUUGAUUAUACCGUAUUAAUUAAUACUCAUAAUCCUGCCAGUUUCUGAUCUAAACAAGCACAUCUACAAGAUUGGAGGUGAUUACAAGAACUAAAGGGAACCAAAAAGUCAGUUUUAAUUCAAUAAAUAUUCAUUAUAAAUAUUUUGUAGUCAGUGCACAAGAGGAAAACUUUAUUUCUUUAAAUCUGUCAGCUUUACAUGAGAAUUUUGUUAUUUUUUUGUACACACGACACAGUAGACAGCGUCGGCUUUGUGUGUCACAUGUCUUACUGUAAUUACCCUACAGAGGUUAAGUGAUGAUUAAGCCAGAUAACACAUGUUGGAGCGCUAUUCAAACCACCGCAGCGUAGAACGUGAUAAGUAUUUCAGCAAGAAAACAAGUUCACGUCAAGGGACAUGCACUUAGGGUGGGAUUUCUGACGUUUGCAUUGCCACAAACUGGAUAAUCCUGCUGUCAACAGUUUGUUAAAUGCAAGAGCCACUUUCUGGGUUCAUCACUGUUUGGAGCAGAUUAGUAGAGGGUAGUGGAUCUCAUAUGGCCCGGUCAGAGGCCAUCAUUGAAAGGCUUAAAGGAUUAAUGUUGUCUCGCGCUCUCACUCUGUCUCUCCAAUAUUCAAUCAAACUCUGGGCUGUCAGAGCACAUCCAGCAUGAUUUGUACAAACACGUCCCAUCAGCGAAGUUUAACAAUACUCAUCUAUUUGCUGAACUCUGUACAAGAACAUAUUCUGUACUUCUGCCAGAUGGUUUGUUUAAGGAUUUUCCUGACUCCUGUUUAGCUCUCAGACAUAUCAGUAUUACAGCAGAGAGUGUUGCAGCGCAGAGAAAAGCUAUCUAUUUCAACAGAGUCAUGAUGUAGUAGUGUCCAUGGGCUCGAGGAGGAGGGGUCAAAGGUUAAAUCCCUGCUUAAAGACACUGUAGUGAGCCUUUUCUAUCAACAGACAGGCCAUUUCAGUAUGUGUUGGAUAGGAUGUAAUUUCCCAUCUGCUUUAUGGCUAUUUCUGAUCCCUGGGCUCUUGUCAGCAAACUCCUCAGUGCAGAUAUCAUCAGUAAUAUAAGGAGGACUCUGGCAAUACUUAGGGCCUUAAAAGGCCCUUCACUUCCCUCCGUCAUGUGGAUGGCUUAAGGAGUUUGAGAGCGCAGGUCACAAGUAAACGUUUCACAAACACUAUCAAAUAGCACAGAUUUAAGUAGCUUAGGACAGCUUCCUUGCCCAAUGUUGCUGCAAGUGUGUGAGUACGUGUGUGUGUGUGUGUGUGUGUGUGUGCAUUUGUGGAUGUGUGACUUGGAAAAAGCUUUCUGUUGCUUGAAUCAAACUUUUUUGCCCUGUUAUUUCAUUUUAAGUGUUUUUAUUUAAAUAUGUUAACCACAUCUCAUCUUUAUACCUUAAGGUUUUUGUCAAGUUGUUCUGAACGCACGGUUAAAUCUCAACCGCUUAUCCUCAUAUUUAAGUUUUUAAUCAGGUACUUUAUAACAAUCCUCCUCAGGUGGAGAUAAAACUAAAAACUACAGAAGUGCUCUCUUUGAAAUGUAGUUUAAAAAUGUCUCUGUUACUCAUUUUAUGAAGUGUUUUAUGAGGAAACAUAACUGUCUCUUCAGCAAAACAGGUGCUUGGAGUGAACCCAACUCACGAGAGAGAUGACAUACAGAGUUGAGAUGUUUUACGCCAGUGCUCAGAUGUGUAUCUGUGUCCAGCGUGUAAUAAGGUUAAGUGGGAAAAACACUUCACUUAAGGUAAAUGAAAGACUGAGUAAUGAGCCCCGGGAGUAAUAGGGGUGUGAAUCUCUCCCUUACAAGACGAUUCGAUUUGAUUCAAUCCUCAGUGAUACAAGAACAGUUAAUGAAAACAAAGAAUAAUAAAUGAAUCCCAAUGUUAAUUUUUAUUCAAUAUAACUGAGUAAAACAUUACAGACAAAUUUGUCUUUGGCAAACAAAUGUUGUUUUAUUGCUUUUAAUCUAAAGUAAUGAUGAAGGAACUCAGGUCAGGCAAUCAUCUUUUCUGAGUUACAUUAAUACAGCACUGCUUUGUGAUAAAUGCUUAUGUUAGCAUGCUAAGAUGCUUAAAAUGACAACACUUUUGUUCAUCCAAAUAUUUUUGUAGUUUUACUAGUUAUAGAGAGGGACAUUUGAUGCUGAGAAAAACAAUGUAAUUUUUUAAUAAUGUUGAAGGGAACAUACUGUAUUUUCUGGACUAUAAGUAGCUCCAGAGUAUAAGUCCCACCAGCCAAAAAAUGCAUAAAGUAGAAAAAGCUGUGUAUAAGUUAUACCACCCAAAAAAUGCAUUAAGUAGAAGAAAAAGCAUAUACCGGUAUAAGUCACAUUUUUGGGGGGAAAUUUUUACAAAAUCCAAGACCAAGCACAGAUAUUCCAUCUAGAAAGGCAAGUUAUAAUAAUAACAAUAGAAUGGAGAACAAAAGGCUGAAUAAGUGUAUGUGAUGCUAAUGUAACAACAAACUCAGUAGGUGUCUGGUAUGUUAACGUAACAUAUUAACAGUUGUUCGGAUAACUAUAGUAUAAAAAACAUAACAAGUUUACCAAACUCUCGAUCUCAGUCCAAAUCACUAAAUCCAUCGAAUUCUUCAUCCUCGUUGUCACUUCUGAACAACUCCACCAACUCCGGAGGUGGACGAAGUGCUGCUUCCUCUUCUGUGUGACUGUCGUUAGACUAUAUGUGAAAUUAUAUAUUUUAAGUUAUAUAAGUCGCAAACCCAGCCAAACUAUGAAAAAAAGUGCGAUUUAUAGUCCAGAAAAUAUGGUAUGUAAUCUAUAGGUAGGCAGGGUUAUUAGGGUUCAUGGUCAGGUAGCCAUUCAUUUCUGUUGAUAUUUUGUGGCCUGCCAUAAAAGCCAGAAGGACCACAAAGGUGGACAAUCCCUGUGGUUAAACUCACACUCACAAACCUAGGGUGGGUGGGUGGUGGGUGUCUGACCAUUUGCGCAGAUUUACUGUUAGGUUAGCACAAUAUCCUGUAUUGGAGUCAGGGUUGAAUUAGUGGUGCAAAUUCCCCCAGAUUGGUACAAAAUGCUUUGCUGACUCAGCAUAAACUGCACGGGCUGUGUAGCGAGGUAAUGAGGAUGCCAUAACGGGGGACUUUUUUUUUUUUCAGAUCACAGAGUCAAAAGGCAGCUACAGCCUGGUCAUAAAUGACUGUGAGCAAAAAUGCUCAUUAGAAGAACAUUUAAGGGAAACACUAGUUCACCGUUCAACCAUGGCGCUGUUGUAAAAUGAAUUUCUUUUUUUUUUUUUCUUUUUUUCUGCUUCAUUAUAGGCAAACAGAAUCUUGGCAUGUGAAAUGAGUUAUGAACACGCUCUUGAGAGGAAUACAAAACAGCAUGAGCCUUCGUCUGGCCAGGAGUGCUGUAGUUAUAAUAUAAAACAUUAACUUGGCUCCGUGGCAUCAUCCCGACACAUGUUAGCUUAGCAGCCAAAUGCCAAAUCUCGGUGAAAAUAAUUGUAUGACAAGUUGAUUACAUAUGCUUAAGUCCUGUGUAAUUGUGAGGUGUUUUCUGAGAAUAAAGAGGUGAUUUCAUUAUUUCCAGACCUUUUAUGAAGGAUGACAUCUGUCUUUUAAGUGAGCUGCUUUUUUGAUUGCACAGGCUAACACAGAAAGUGGUUUCCAAAGAAAUCAGUUUAAUUGUGCUUAUAUGUGCCUUUGCAUACCAACUCCACACAAAAAAACAUUGAAAUCCUUCUGUUCCUCACUUACAAGUCUUGGACUAUCAUCUGAUCCUCCACUCCCACCACAGUACCACAGAGAUAUCUGCCUUUAUGACCCAACCGCCAACCACUCUGCUUUAAAAAUCCAGCUGUUUCCUUUCUCCUAUUUAACUCCCUCUUUUCUUCAUUCAUGAAUCCUCCUCGCUCGGAGGGAACUGUUGGUGGGUGGAUGGCAUUUAAGACAAUGAAUUGUUUUCUCUGAGUCACUCAAUGCACAGGGCCCAUAUCCAGCUGUGUUUCUUCAAGCAUGAUACACUUCACUUGUUAAACAAGGUCAUUAGUUAGUCAACACUUCUUGGGCUGCCUGGCAAAGAAUUAGUGAUGACAGUCUCUCCCUCAUGCUCCCUCCCACACAGCCAGAGCCUCCCACUACAAGUUUUCUCUGCUCCCCGCCUGCUCUGCUCAUGGGAAAGUCCCAACGCUGCUUCAAGUAUGACCCCGGUGAGUGUUAUCAAGGAAUG
Xyrichtys novacula (pearly razorfish) is the source of this 10541-nucleotide non-coding RNA. NCBI's taxonomy places the organism in Eukaryota, Metazoa, Chordata, Actinopteri, Labriformes, Labridae. The record is from the annotation of a GenBank genome assembly.